Molecule: long non-coding RNA, 2830 nt
Filed under: Trifolium pratense (red clover)
Lineage: Eukaryota; Viridiplantae; Streptophyta; Magnoliopsida; Fabales; Fabaceae
Description: long non-coding RNA (TPRA_LNC005004)
Source: RNAcentral
AUAGAGACAAAAAGACUAAACAAAUAUACAACACAAAGGGGUAUAUUUGUCAAUUUGCUCAUCAACCACACGUGUGACCUUCUUUUUCAGAUUUUAUAUUUUAAUUUUUUUCUUCUCUUUCACACCGUUCUCUCUUUCACGUAAAAAUUAAAGAAAUUCAUCUCCAUCUCAGCUCCAUCUCCAUCUCUGGAAAUCGUCAUCUCCAUCAAAGCUCAAUCUUCUCCCUCUCUGCAAAAUUCCUUCUCCCUCUUUGCGACAAAACCCUAACACAAUCGUCCCCUUUCUUCGACGAAAUCAGAAAUACGUUGAACUCAUUCAUCCGAUUCAAGGUUAGUUAAUUGUUCCUUUUGAUUUUUCUCUUCUCCUUAUUCUUCAAAAGAUAAGAUUCUGAUUUUAAUUUCCCUUUUGCUUAUAGUUAUUUGAUAUGCUUGAUUUAGGGUAUAAAUUGGGGAUUCUGAUUCGUGAAUAUGUUUAAUAUUGAUUUUCUCAACUUAAUUUCAUGAUUGACAAAACUGAAAUCAUAUUAUUAGUAGUUUAAGUUGUGGAGUUAUGUUUGUUGUAAUGUUAUGAAUUGAAAAAAAAGACAUGAUAAAUACAGGAAAACAAAAUAAACAGUAGUCAUGUGUUAAAAUGUGGGUAGUUGUUUGAAACACUUGGUUGAUGUAGGAGUUUCUGUCAAAAAUUAAAAAGUUGACACAAAUUAUGGGUGGUGAAAUCAUGAAUAUACCCCUCUUAUGUUUCUAUACUUAAACAAAACUGAAAUCAUGUUAUUAGUUUAAAUUGUGAAAUUAUGUUUGUUGUAAUGUUAUGAGUUGAGAAAAUAACAUCAUAAACACAGGGAAAAAAAUGUGGGUAGUCAUGUGUUAAUGUGUGGAUAGUUGGUUGAAACAUUUGGUUAAUUUAAAUUUUCUUUCAAAAAUUGGAAGGUUGACGCAAGUUAUGUGACUUGUAAUACUUUAUUUUUGCAACUUAUGAUACAAUUGAUUUAAAUGAGUUCUUUUAUGUAGUUUUGAUUUGACACUUGCACCCAAAAAAAAAUAUUCAUGGAUAGUUCUUUCUUUGUCGAUCAAUUUCUAUUUGUCGCUCUUCUCCGUUGUUUUCUCUUUUCGGUAGAAAGUGUAAUUGUUCGGGGCUAACAUUAUUUGGGAAAUGGAUGAACAAUGAUAUUUGCAAAAGGAAAUCAUGCUUAUUUGAUAAGUGAAUAAUAGUCUAUAUAUUUGGUAUUCUAGAUGAUGAGGCAUUAAAAUGCGUACUAUGAAUUAUCAUGGGGCGUUAUAGAAGUAUCAGUUUGGUUGCAUUUCUUUGAAGUGUUAGUAUCAUUGGAAGUGGAAGCUUUCUCUUUGUAAGAGGUGUACAUAGUCCUACAUAUGAGUAUAUGUGCUUUUUGGCAUAGUGCUUUAAUUAAGCAAACCGAUAUAAGAUGUACAUGUCAAAUUUUUCUAUUUUUUUAAUGAAUGAAAUCUUCCAAAUCAUCUGAUUAAUUUUGAAUUGAUUCAUUUGUUUACUAUGCAAAAGUUGGACUAAGAUUAUUAUAGAAGCAUUAACAUUCUUGCAUUUUUAGGUUGGUUCAUGGAAUGCAGUGCUUAGAUCAAUCGACUUUUGAUCAACAUGACAAGUGAUUGAUAUCAUCAUUGAGUAGUAAAGGCUCAACUCACGUCAUGAAAUCAAAGAAGUUCCAGCUCUUGCACCAAUUUUUGAACAAUUCUCAUGUUAUGUCUAUUGGGUUAUCAUCACCAUUGUUGCAAUUGUAUGCCUCACUCCUGACUCAUGAGCUUUAUUGUUAUUAUUAUUGUUGAGACCUUGUACAUAAUUAAUUUAUCUACAUUAAUACAAUUAACAGUCACUAAUAAUUUUCAUUUUACUUUCAGGGAUCCAAUUUAUGAGAAGCUGUUUGGAACUUGAAUGGUACCACGAUUCAAACUAAUGGUGUAAAGAAGUGUAAAUAACUCUCUGAAAAUUUUAUGUUCACUCAAUGUCAUGGAUACUAUGCUAAUUAAACUAUCAAAAUGUUGCAUGAUAAAAAUUUAUCUUCAGAAAGAGUAGCUAGCAAAACAUGUAUAUCAUAAAUAUUGAACUAAUGUGCAUACUAAAAGUAGAGAAUUAUAUAGAUCCAGAGAAACUUGUAGGAUGUGGGAUGUAGUACUCUUCACGCAUAGACUAAAGUACAUAUUAGUAUGUGGGAAGAGCAUAUGGUUUUAAUUGACGUGUGGCAGAGUGUAUUUACUUAACAAUAUAAUAAUUGUCUAUUUUUUGUGUUUUUUUAUCGGCAUACUUACCUACAUGAUAUUGCUCUCCAGGUAUAUAUUGCUUAAAACCACCCUAUUUUUUCUUAGCUAUACCCAUAUAUGUUUCUAGCUCGUGCUUUAUUUUUCUAAUUCUAUUUAUUUUUCAAAACAAUUUUUUUCUAUUUUCUUUGUAGUAAUUGAUGAUUGGUUAUUUGAAAUGAUGUUUGUAAAGUUGGCACCGUUUGCAAGUAACCAAGAUGAAUAUAGAGACCAAUUCAGUUUUGUAGACUGUAGUGAUAUGGUUUCAGAACUUGUGGUUACUGGAAUAUAAAGAGUUUGUUUUGUUGAGAGUUGUAUUUUGAAGAUAUACUACUAGAGCUUGGUAUUGCCGAGAGCUGCAGCUAAGUUGGUGGAGCGGUCCAUUAUUCUGAACCCUGGUCUAUGCUUUUGAAUAUUUGAGUUGCAAAUUUUGUUUUUAGAGCAACAAGAGCAUUGUGUAAUACUAUUGUAUAUGUAGAUAUGUAAUUUUUAAGUAUUUGAUCAUGUAGUUUCCAUGUUUUCGAAUAUUAUAAAAUCAUAAUAAAAUUCUAUGGAUAUUUGAUUUA